Molecule: RNA transcript, 2334 nt
Organism: Brachypodium distachyon (stiff brome)
Lineage: Eukaryota; Viridiplantae; Streptophyta; Magnoliopsida; Poales; Poaceae
Gene name: probable calcium-binding protein CML18
Exons: 3
Source: RefSeq, a predicted model, not a curated record
CACGUAGUUCUGACGCUACGUGCCCUCCGCACGUUACUUGGAUAAAAAAGCAGCCUUUGGAGGCGAAGAAUCGAGCGCACACCAGAGGAAACCGGACGGGAGAGGAACGGAAGGAAUUAAAGCCAGCAGCGAACGAGGAGGGUUCACAGCCAUGGCGGCGAACGAGGAGGGUUCGCCCGCGGACGCGAAGAUCUGCGGCGGGCUGGCGGGGGGGAUCCCGAUGGCGGAGCUGGAGCAGGUGUUCCGGCGGUACGACGCGAACGGCGACGGCAAGAUCUCGGCGGAGGAGCUGGCGUCCGUGCUGCGCGCGCUGGGCGCGGCCCCGGGGCCGGGGGAGGUCGCGCGCAUGAUGGAGGAGAUGGACGCCGACAGGGACGGCUUCGUCGACCUCCGCGAGUUCGCCGCCUUCCACUGCGGCCAGGGCGCCGCCAAUCAGGAGCAGGAGGCGGCGUCGGAGGCCGAGCUCAAGGAGGCGUUCCGGAUGUACGACGCGGACCGCAACGGGCUCAUCUCCGCCCGGGAGCUCCACCGCGUGCUGCGGCAGCUCGGGGACAAGUGCUCCGUCGCCGACUGCUCGCGCAUGAUCCGCUCCGUCGACGCCGACGGCGACGGCAGCGUCAACUUCGAUGAGUUCAAGAAGAUGAUGGGCGGCGGAGGGAGGUAGGUGCUAGGCCGUAGCAAGCGGGAGGCUCUUAAGUUCUAAGCGAGCCCGGUUGGAGAAAACUCUGGAUUUGAUGGUGAAAGGAUUAAUUAUGUAAAGACGAUCAUCUGUACAAAGAACUACAGAACCAACACUUUUGCACUUUUGGGUUGGAGAAUCGAGUGAGGGUGGGGACAAGAAAGGAAACAGGAGUAGAAGAGAAUGGGAUGCCGGAGAUGCCGACGACGGGCGACAUGGGGAAGAAUGGCCUGGCGGCCGGCGGGUAACAGUGUAAAUCCAUAAAACUGAUAUUUCUUUUAGCUAAAAAUGAUCGGUGUAAAACUCUAACCCUUUUGCUGAACGUCAAUCUUUGAAUAUUGCUAGAUUCACCCUGUAUAGUUUGGUGUUAUUUUUUUUUAGCAAUUUCACGAGUCAUUGACGUUUUACAAGGCUGAAGCAAUGGUUUGCAGCGUUGAGGUGUUCGAGCUGUCUAAACCAAAAUGCUGUUUCAACCCCACCCCACCCCCCACCAACAACACACACACAAAAAAAAAGAAAAUCUGUUUUGGAGGCUCAACGCUAUGGACCAUGGCGUUGAGCUCCCAAUUUUUUUAUUGCUUACAAAUUCGGUAAGUUUUUUCAACGCUAAGUUAUAUGACGUAGUCAUGUUUAAUACCAUAGAGGUUAGAUUGACCAAAGAGUUCAGAUUCGGUUCAAUUUUGCAGUAGGGUUAUUUUUGGUUGAACUAUUAGAAAAGGAUUUUUUCUCAAAUGUUGAAAAUAAAACAUUUGUAGCAAUAUUUAAUUUACAAAAUCAUAACAUGUAAAGUAAAGAAAAUCAGAUCUCUUCAAACUAGAUAUGCUACACAACAGUAAGAAAUAGGAUAACCGAUCUAAUUACAUGGCAUGAUCAACAAUAGAGGUAUUCAAACCCAACAAUACAAAGAGUAGAACAUACGACAUGGUCCUGCAAUAAGCGUGUUGCCUGGUGGUGCAGGAGGUAUAAUCUGCGGACUAUCAUGGUUGCUUUUGGCUGUUGGCAGACCAUUGUUUUCAUGGUCGUCGUUGUUGUUGGCAUCACUUGCAUUCAUGUCAACGAAGAUGUCACUGAAGGAAGGCAUUCGCGUCAGGAAGCUUCCAAAAAACCUUAUUGACUCUCUCCUAGUGUAGGAUCUCAAUGGUCGCGGUUUUGGAGGCUUGCUCUCUUGAAUAGACAUGUAUGCAGUUGUUGGGGUGGAGAAGACGAAGACACCGUAGUAGAUUGUACCUGGAGAGGCUAGGUGUGGAGGCACAGACAUUAGAGUUACAGUUUUGAUGUGGUGGAUCACCUUAUUAUAAAGUCGUCUUAAUGGUCAUUUGAUGAUGAGAAGACCGGAUGGGGCAACUAGCGAUACUACAUACUACUCUGAUUGUACUCAAUCUAUCAUGAGAACAACUAUCAAAGAGUUCUUCUGGUUCUGGGUAUAACACUUGGCCACAAGACGAGCCUUGUACUUUUCGAUCAUACCCUUAGGUUUAUGCUUUUUCUUGAACACCCACUUACAUCAUAUAGGUUUUCAUCUAGGCAACCUUGUUGGGAUGGGAUGAAUAGGGUGGCAUCUUCUCAUGAAUAAUUUCAUGUUUCUCACAGAAAAAAGAGAACUUGAAUAUUACUCUCCACCAGAUUAGACUAAACACUUUUGAUUUUCUUUUCCA